This 360-nucleotide transfer-messenger RNA is filed under the name Gammaproteobacteria bacterium. It matches the Rfam family "transfer-messenger RNA". Rfam says of the family: Bacterial tmRNA, also known as 10Sa RNA or SsrA, is named for its dual tRNA and mRNA-like properties. Its role is to liberate the mRNA from a stalled ribosome. To accomplish this part of the tmRNA is used as a reading frame that ends in a translation stop signal. The record is from RNAcentral. Lineage: Bacteria; Pseudomonadati; Pseudomonadota; Gammaproteobacteria.
GGGGGCGACCUGGCUUCGACGUGGGUUGCAAAACCUUAGGUGCAUGCCGAGGGGCAGAAAACCUCGUAAAUCCAGCUGCAAAACUAUAGUUGCUAACGACGACAACUACGCACUCGCUGCUUAAACCCCAGUAGGGUGCCGUCUGACUGAAGCCGUGCUUGUGCGUUCAGAUCCAGGCGUCGACCUCACAAGAUCGUGAUGAAGCUUGUUCUGGGUGGAUUCACUAAAACUUUUCAGAACUCGCCGUUUGUUUUCCCUGUUCGUCGGGUAGCUUGCGGUUAAACUAAUUGACGAAAUAAGCAUGUAGAGCCGAAGGCAGAGGGCUUGCGGACGCGGGUUCGAUUCCCGCCGCCUCCACCA